UUGAGUAAUCUUGAGGUAGGCGGAAUGUGUAGUGUAGCGGUGAAAUGCUUAGAUAUUACACAGAACACCGAUUGCGAAGGCAGCUUACUAAGGAUUUACUGACGCUGAUGCACGAAAGCGUGGGGAUCAAACAGGAUUAGAUACCCUGGUAGUCCACGCCGUAAACGAUGAUAACUCGCUGUUGGCGAUACACAGUCAGCGGCUUAGCGAAAGCGUUAAGUUAUCCACCCGGGGAGUACGCUCGCAAGAGUGAAACUCAAAGGAAUUGACGGGGGCCCGCACAAGCGGAGGAACAUGUGGUUUAAUUCGAUGAUACGCGAGGAACCUUACCUGGGCUUAAAUGUGCUAUGACCGCCGGAGAAAUUUGGCUUUUCGCGAGAACAGAGUACAAGGUGCUGCAUGGUUGUCGUCAGCUCGUGCCGUGAGGUGUCGGGUUAAGUCCCAUAACGAGCGCAACCCUUAUUGUCAGUUGCUAACAGGUAAAGAUGAGGACUCUGGCGAGACUGCCACCGUAAGGUGUGAGGAAGGUGGGGAUGACGUCAAAUCAGCACGGCCCUUAUGUCCAGGGCUACACACGUGUUACAAUGGCCAGUACAAAGGGCAGCUACCGGGUGACCGGAUGCUAAUCUCUAAAGCUGGUCUCAGUUCGGAUCGAAGUCUGCAACCCGACUUCGUGAAGCUGGAUUCGCUAGUAAUCGCGCAUCAGCCAUGGCGCGGUGAAUACGUUCCCGGGCCUUGUACACACCGCCCGUCAAACCAUGGGAGUUGGGGGUACCUGAAGUAUGUGUCCCCAGGAGCGUCCUAGGGUAAAACCAAUGUCUGGGGUUAUCUAACAAGGUA
RNAcentral lists this ribosomal RNA (840 nucleotides) under uncultured bacterium. RNAcentral's name for it is "bacterial SSU rRNA". It matches the Rfam family "Bacterial small subunit ribosomal RNA", at positions 642 to 1498 of the family's 1533-position model. The record is from RNAcentral.